GGUUCCCUGCGAUGCGCGUGAUAAAUGAUGAACUUAGAACCAACACCUCUUUAACGGGAGCUUUAUACCGCACGCGGUGUGCAUGCUCGUUUCGGCGAGAAGCCUUAAGCGGCGAAAUGGCGCCCACACUCACAAGAGGUUCAAGAUUUUGUUGUUUACACGGCAUUGCGGGGUUUUG
RNAcentral lists this non-coding RNA (178 nucleotides) under Syntrophobacterales bacterium. RNAcentral describes it as "6S RNA". It matches the Rfam family "6S / SsrS RNA". Rfam says of the family: E. coli 6S RNA was the first non coding RNA to be sequenced, but its function was unknown until recently. It consists of 184 nucleotides that fold into an extended hairpin structure with a large single-stranded internal bulge. The 6S RNA specifically associates with RNA polymerase holoenzyme containing the sigma70 specificity factor. Lineage: Bacteria; Pseudomonadati; Thermodesulfobacteriota; Syntrophobacteria; Syntrophobacterales. The record is from RNAcentral.